This is a long non-coding RNA of Sitodiplosis mosellana (orange wheat blossom midge), 303 nucleotides long. RefSeq lists it as uncharacterized. The record is from RefSeq and is a predicted model, not a curated record. The transcript is spliced from 3 exons. Lineage: Eukaryota; Metazoa; Arthropoda; Insecta; Diptera; Cecidomyiidae.
AGGUCACAAGGAUGUCGUUGAAUUGCUUCUCGAAAAUAAAGCCAAUGUUAAUAUUAGAAAAGGUGAAGCUCUUCGUUUAGCUGUUGUAAAUGGUUACAAGGAUGUCGUUGAAUUGCUCAAUAAAUAUAAUGCCAAUGUUAAUUUGCAAGAUGUUUAUGGUCGAACACCUAUUUAUUAUGCUAUUCAAAAAGGCCGCACGGAUAUCACCAAACUUCUCAUGGAAAAUGGAGCCGUUCAUCAUUAAAUCAAAUGAAAAUUGCACAAUGCACACUCCAAUGAAUCAACGCAGUGAAGAGACAUCAC